CAGUUUCUGUAUGCCAACGUUCUGGAAAAGCAUAACUAUUCUCUGAUAAGGUUUCACAAUGUUGAAAGUAAGGUGGAGGUCAGUACAUUUCCUUCCCAGAAGGGAAGAGGAAAGAAGCCACUUCCGAAUCCAUUUACCAUCCAGCCCCUUAAGCUGUAGAGCUGAUACCCCAUGUCCAUGGGAAAGUUCUUGGAGGUUGAGGAUUCGAUGCUUAGACUGGACCCACCCAGAAUAUACAAAUAUUUUAAGGUCUGCACCAGCGGUGUAUUUGAAAAGUCCCCACACCAUGUAACGGUAUAUUACGAUAUCUUGGUGGUUAGGGCACAGACUCUGAGAUGUCUGCCUAACACAGACUUAAAAUCUCAAGGUGACAUUUUGAGCAAAACACUUUGCACGAUUCACCCGUCAAAUGGGAAGAUAUGAGUCUGAGAUACCCAAGACAGAGAAGAUCACGUAGGCUUUGGGUUUUGUUUUAUUUUUUAGUUUAUUUCUAUUUUAUUUGUUUGGGUGUUUUGCCUGUGCGUCACAUACAUGCAGUUCCCUUGGAGGCCAGACGAGGGCAACAGAUCCCUUGAGACUGAGUUAGAGUGGGCAGUGAGCCACCUUGUGGGUGCCGAGAGUGGAGCUGGAUCCUCGAGAAGAGCAGCCAGAGCUCUUCACCACUCCAUCUC
Molecule: long non-coding RNA, 671 nt
Filed under: Rattus norvegicus (Norway rat)
Lineage: Eukaryota; Metazoa; Chordata; Mammalia; Rodentia; Muridae
Description: long non-coding RNA NONRATT010914
Source: RNAcentral